CCAGGUUGUCCUGUGACAAGGAAUCUCAGAGUUGUUCCUCAUAUCUAUAUCUACUGUUAGAUUGACUUAAUUUUGUGUAUAUUUUUCAGAUCAGCAAAGAAGAAUCUUAACAGGUCAUCUUGAAGAAAAGUAAUUAGUAAUUGUGCUUAUGAAAUCUACUGGAUAGGUAAUUUGAUCGUCAUGGCUCUCUAACUCAUCUCACUCACUGACAAGGUCUUCAGCAUCCACAUGGGAAGAAGGAACAGUGAGGAGACAUUUGCCCCUGCAGCAUGGAAGACCAACAGCCUCCUUAUCUGCAUGAGACAGAGCAUUGCCAGCAGGUCAUGGGAGGUGAUCCUUCCCCUCUACUCAGCCCUGGUGAGGCACACCUGGAGUUCUGGGUCCAGCACUGGGCUCCAAAGUACAAGAAAGAGACAUGGACACACUCUGAAGGGAUUACAUACAACUCAAAUGUUCAAGAGACAUUGACGUACUGGGAAAAGUCCAGUGGAGGGCCACCAAGAUGAUGAAAGGACUGGAGCAUCUCUCCUGUGAGAUAGCUGGGGCUGCUCAGCCUGGAGAAGAGGAGGCUCAGGGGGAUCUCAUCCUUGUCUGUAAAUCCCUGAAGGGAGGGUGCAGAGAGGACAGAGCCAGACUCUGCCCAGUGGUGCCCAGUUCCAGGACAGGAGGCCAUGGGCACAGCCAGGCACCCAGGGAGGCUCCCUCUGAGCACCAGGCAGCACUGCUGUGCUGGGCGGGUGACGGAGCCCUGGCACAGGCUGCCCAGAGGGGCUGUGGGGUCUCCUCCUUGGGGAUUUCUAUAAGCUGCCUGGAUGUGGUCCUGGGCAGCCUGCUCUGGAUGUCCUUGCUUGAGCAGGGGUUGGACCAGAUGGAUCCAGAAGUCCCUUCCUACCUCAACAGUUCUGUGAUUCUGUGAAAUUGUCCUGUCAAUUUAGAAGAAAUUCUAAAAGAAACGGAUAAAAUGAUUAGUAAGAAACAAGUUGUUAGUGCCAGAUACUCUUCAUCUAAGAGUCCUGAAGGAACUCAACGAACUCACAUAUACUGUUACCUCACUACUCAACAUGCCGUUUUACCCAUCAUUUAUGCGGGUUGUGGUUGUAGAGGAAUGAAAGAUUCACUUUCUUUAACAGUCCUUUAUAAAGACAUCUUACUAUUUUUACAAAAUGUAUUGAAACUGUAUAACAAUUAAACUGCAUACUCAACAAUUUUAAAAUGAAGAAAGGCCAACAUGGAUUUUAGGUCGAUACUGAGAUUAACUGUUUGCUAACUUUUGGAAAAAAAAGAAAAAAAAAAAAAAGCUUUAAGCUUCUUUGAAGGAAUCAAGAAAAUUAUUUUUAUAGCAUGUACAGGGAAUUGCAAAAUGUAGGAGAUGCUGGAAAAAAAAAAACAAAAACAAAAAACAACUAAGUUGCAUAACAAGAAGAAGGGGGUAGAGAUGGGGUUGGGAGGGAGAAAGUGGUGGUGUGACAUUUUCCACCAGCUGAGGAUGUCAAUUUCUUACUCGUUCUUUGCCAAAGCAGGAAUCCCAGGCCACAAUAUUUAAUGUCCCUCUUCAGUACAAUGGCAUACUUCUCAAGGAGAAGUCUGCAUUAAUUUGGCUGUUUUUGCUAUGUUCAGCCACACCAUCCCCAAGGGUAGGUUAUCUUUUAACCCAAGUACCCUCUGUGCCUCUCCCUCAAACACUGUAUAAUUAAUCAUCCUGAAAGGUGGCUAAGAGGUAAACAACCAAUUUCUGUAUUGCAGAUGCUGCUGCUUUGUCAAAUAAUCGGUGCAAAGACAUGUUAACAGUACGAAGGGAGAUUCACGUCUUUGUUCAUUCAUUCAUUUCACUAAGCUGUCCAUUAUUGGUUGUCCAGUAAGGUAAGUGAAAAUGAGGGAAAAGCUACCCAAAAUAAGUGUUAGGAGAGAAUGAAGGAUCUUUCUUUUAUCAUGGCAUCUGUGAUUCAGCUUGUAUAAAAACAAUAGGCUGGAUCACACCCGCUUCUAGGGAUUGCUUGGAGCAGAAACAAAGUAAUUAUUAGAAUUAAUAUGAACAAAAGUAUCCUGGCUGAUCUUCCUGAUGGACUCCUGAAGUAAUAAGAAACAGACCUGAAGGUUUCAAGCUGGUCACUUCCUAGCACAAAGCUGCUUUUGGGAGCGAACUGAUGAGAUGUGAAAUUUGUAUUGCCACAGGCAAGGCAGAAUUACCCUGCCAUGUGUCUGUGAUGCUAAUGUAAUUAAUCCCAGUAAAGCUCAUUUUUAAAUAGCUUAAACUAGAAGUUUAAAUUUAUUUUAUUCUGCUACUCAUUGAAUGCAUUCUGAUACAUUAGAUGGAAAUGGAAAGGUCCAAACUGGUGAAACUGGAAACCCAUCUAAACUGAAGUACAAGAUGGCUGUACCCUUCAAACAAACAAGUGAAAAUUGAUAAUUCCCAAAUUAAUGAAAAUUUGUCAGUAAAACUGAAUCAGAUUUAAAAACUGAAAGCUAAAAAUGAAAUGAAAAUAUAAAGUCAUUGAAGAAUCCUGAAUAAUGAAUCUGCCCUGCUUUUUGAGGAAUGCUGGAGGGUGCCUCACUACUUGAAUCUGAUGCAGUUACUGAAGACCCAGUCAGCCACUGGCAUGGUGCCUGCUGCCAUGAAGAAUGGAAUUUAAAAAAAUUUGGAGUGUAAAAACAUGGAGUGUAAAAACAUUGACUUGAUGAAAAAUUCUGUGCCUUUCCAUACAGACAAUACUUGUGCAGUAGAAUAAUGUAGAAUUUCGUAAAAAAUCAUGGUCUUCCAAAGUCUCUUGAUGAAUAAAAUUUGCUAUUUUCUGGCUUAUCAUCUCCAACUUACUCUGAACGAUCCGAAUGAUCUCUCUCUCUCUCUCUCUCUUUUUUUUAAAUUUUUUUAAUCUUCUUUUUUUUAAAAAAAAAAUUAUUU
Molecule: long non-coding RNA, 2899 nt
Organism: Anas platyrhynchos (mallard)
Lineage: Eukaryota; Metazoa; Chordata; Aves; Anseriformes; Anatidae
Source: RefSeq, a predicted model, not a curated record